This 1413-nucleotide ribosomal RNA is filed under the name Candidatus Caldarchaeum subterraneum. Its description in RNAcentral is "bacterial SSU rRNA". It matches the Rfam family "Archaeal small subunit ribosomal RNA", at positions 697 to 1478 of the family's 1478-position model. Lineage: Archaea; Thermoproteati; Nitrososphaerota; Candidatus Caldarchaeales; Candidatus Caldarchaeaceae. The record is from RNAcentral.
GUGAGGGACGAAAGCUGGGGGAGCGAUCGGGAUUAGAUACCCCGGUAGUCCCAGCCGUAAACGAUGCGGGCUUGGCGUCGGAGCGGCUACGAGCCGUUCCGGUGCAGAAGGGAAACCAUUAAGCCCGCCGCCUGGGGAGUACGGCCGCAAGGCUGAAACUUAAAGGAAUGGAGGGUGAUCUGGGUAGGGGGUGUAUGCAGGGACUACGUGGUGAUGUUUGCUAUGCUAUCGGCGCUCUCCGAGAUGGAAGCAUAGAGAUACGCGUGGGCAAGAACUAUGAAAUAAGAUAUAAUCAACGUUGUUACCACUGGCUUGUUGAGCUACAGCGAAUAUUCUAUGAGCACUAUGGUGUGCGUGGUUCUAUACGACCUUGGAUUCGCGGAACGUAUAUGCUGCGGAUAAAUGAUAAGAAUACAACACUAGAAUUCGCGGACCUUUGUGAAUAUAAAACACCACAAAGAGAAUGGACUACCCCAUCAAUAAUUAAACAACAGACGUUGGGACAACAAUUAUGUUAUGUUCAGGGUUUUUGGGAUGCUGAGGGGGGACUUCCUCAUAAUCCUUCACAGAGCUCUCAAUUUUAUCUAUCAUUUGACCAAGAGAAUUAUGAAGCGCUAAACUUCAUUCGUUCUGUAUUAUUGAAACUUAACUUUAAUCCCACCAACAUAACACGAACUGGGAAAUGUUGGCAGUUCCGACUCACUCGAAAAGAAGAAAUUAUCAGAUAUGCACGGGAGAUAUCCACCCGGCAUCCUGAUAAGCAAUCCCGCAUGCGCUCCCUAACCCAGCUUCUCCUCCCCUGAAUUGGCGGGGGAGCACCACAAGGGGUGGACGUUGCGGCUUAAUUGGAGUCAACGCCGGAAACCUUACCGGGGGCGACAGCAGGAUGAUGGCCAGGUUAAAGGCCUUGCCGGACGAGCUGAGAGGAGGUGCAUGGCCGUCGCCAGUGCGUGCCGUGAGGUGUCCUGUUAAUUCAGGCAACGGACGAGACCCGCGCCUCCAGUUGCGACCGGGCCGAAAGGCGCCGAGCACUCUGGAGGGACUGCCCCGGAAACGGGGAGGAAGGAGCGGGCUACGGCAGGUCAGUAUGCCCCGAAUCCCCCGGGCCGCACGCGACGUUCAAUGGUGGGGACAGUGGGCUGCGACCCCGAAAGGGGAAGCCAAUCCCUAAACCCCACCUCAGUAGGGAUCGAGGGUUGCAACUCGCCCUCGUGAACGCGGAAUCCCUAGUAACCGCCCGUUACCACCGGGCGGUGAAUACGUCCCCGCUCCUUGCACACACUGCCCGUCGCUGCACCCGAGCUGGAACUGGGCGAGGGCCCGUCUUGUUGGCGGGUUCGAGCCCGGUUCUGGUGAGGGGGCAGAAGUCGUAACAAGGUGGCCGCACGGGAACGUGUGGCCGGAUCACCUCCU